UACGUAGGGGGCAAGCGUUGUCCGGAAUCAUUGGGCGUAAAGAGCGUGUAGGCGGCCAGAUAAGUCCGCUGUGAAAUCUCGAGGCUCAACCUCGAGACGUCGGCGGAAACCAUCUGGCUAGAGUCCGGAAGAGGAGAGUGGAAUUCCUGGUGUAGCGGUGAAAUGCGCAGAUAUCAGGAUGAACACCCGUGGCGAAGGCGGCUCUCUGGGACGGUACUGACGCUGAGACGCGAAAGCGUGGGGAGCGAACAGG
RNAcentral lists this ribosomal RNA (253 nucleotides) under uncultured bacterium. RNAcentral describes it as "partial 16S ribosomal RNA". It matches the Rfam family "Bacterial small subunit ribosomal RNA", at positions 524 to 776 of the family's 1533-position model. The record is from RNAcentral.